Tigriopus californicus is the source of this 529-nucleotide long non-coding RNA. RefSeq lists it as uncharacterized. The record is from RefSeq and is a predicted model, not a curated record. Lineage: Eukaryota; Metazoa; Arthropoda; Copepoda; Harpacticoida; Harpacticidae. The transcript has 3 exons.
CUAUCAAAUCUGUUCGAACCCUGGUUGUGCUCGGGUCAAGAAGUGGCCAUGACGGCAAAAAAAUCGCCUGAACUCAGGGCACCCUAGGCAUGAUUAUCAAUGAUUAAGUGAAGCUGUUCUUACAGUGUUUUCAACACGAGGGUAUUUUCCAUUGCAUUGUGGUCAAAUAUGAAUUUCACUUUCAACUGCCCAAUACCAAUAUGGCGAAAUCACCAAGAUUGUGUCCAUAGGGAAAUUCUGAAGCCAAAAAUCACAAUGAAGAGUCUAGUUGAAAGUGGCAGAAACAUGUGGAUAUCUCUUGUUUUCGACCAAAGUUUCUGUUUGUCAAUGCAUAACUAAUAGUGAUGUGAUUUGAAGCCAAAUGAAAAAAAAAAUUGAAUUCCUCAAAAAUCAGUUCGUUUUGAAAAUCAGUUCAUUUUGAAAUUCCGCAAGAGUUGUCAUACUAAUCCAAAAACUUUAUAUGCUCACUUCUUAAAAUGUAAUGAUGAAGCUGAGUCUUGGGUUUGUGGCCUAAUCACACAAAUAUCUG